RNAcentral lists this ribosomal RNA (482 nucleotides) under uncultured bacterium. RNAcentral describes it as "partial 16S ribosomal RNA". It matches the Rfam family "Bacterial small subunit ribosomal RNA", at positions 30 to 507 of the family's 1533-position model. The record is from RNAcentral.
AUUGAACGCUGGCGGCAUGCUUUACACAUGCAAGUCGAACGGUAACAGGCCGCAAGGUGCUGACGAGUGGCGAACGGGCGAGUAAUGCAUCGGAACGUGCCCAGUCGUGGGGGAUAACUACUCGAAAGAGUAGCUAAUACCGCAUACGAUCUAUGGAUGAAAGCGGGGGACCGUAAGGCCUCGCGCGAUUGGAGCGGCCGAUGUCAGAUUAGGUAGUGGGUGGGGUUAAGGCUCACCAAGCCAACGAUCUGUAGCUGGUCUGGGAGGACGACCAGCCACACUGGGACUGAGACACGGCCCAGACUCCUACGGGAGGCAGCAGUCGGGAAUUUUGGACAGUGGGCGCGAGCCUGAUCCAGCAAUGCCGCGUGCAGGAAGAAGGCCUUCGGGUUGUAAACUGCUUUUGUACGGAGCGAAACGGCUCUGGUUAAUACCCGGGGCUAAUGACGGUACCGGAAGAAUAAGCACCGGCUAACUACGUG